GAACCUGCGAAGGCAAGCGGAUCUCUUAAAGCCGUUCUCAGUUCGGACUGUAGGCUGCAACUCGCCUACACGAAGCUGGAAUCGCUAGUAAUCGCGGAUCAGCACGCCGCGGUGAAUACGUUCCCGGGCCUUGUACACACCGCCCGUCACACCAUGAGAGUCUGUAACACCCAAAGCCGGUGGGAUAACCUUUAUAGGAGUCAGCCGUCUAAGGUAGGACAGAUGAUUAGGGUGAAGUCGUAACAAGGUAGC
This 252-nucleotide ribosomal RNA is filed under the name uncultured bacterium. RNAcentral describes it as "partial 16S ribosomal RNA". It matches the Rfam family "Bacterial small subunit ribosomal RNA", at positions 1251 to 1500 of the family's 1533-position model. The record is from RNAcentral.